This 419-nucleotide ribosomal RNA is filed under the name uncultured bacterium. RNAcentral's name for it is "bacterial SSU rRNA". It matches the Rfam family "Bacterial small subunit ribosomal RNA", at positions 358 to 770 of the family's 1533-position model. The record is from RNAcentral.
GGAAUCUUGCGCAAUGGGCGAAAGCCUGACGCAGCGACGCCGCGUGAGCGAUGAAGGCCCUCGGGUUGUAAAGCUCUGUGGGGAGAGAAGAAUAAGGCUUGGUUAAUAUCCAAGUUGAUGACGGUAUCUCCUUAGCAAGCACCGGCUAACUCUGUGCCAGCAGCCGCGGUAAGACAGAGGGUGCAAACGUGGUUGGGAAUUGCUGGGCGUAAAGCGCGUGUAGGCGGCAUCGCAAGUCGGAUGUGAAAGCCCACGGCUCAACCGGGGAAGAGCACUCGAAACUGCGUGGCUAGAGUCCCGGAGAGGAAGGUGGAAUACUGGGUGUAGAGGUGAAAUUCGUAGAUAUCCAGUGGAACAUCGGUGGCGAGGGCGGCCUUCUGGACGGUGACUGACGCUGAAAUGCGAAAGCGUGGGGAGCA